This 182-nucleotide ribosomal RNA is filed under the name uncultured Actinomycetes bacterium. RNAcentral's name for it is "uncultured actinobacterium partial 16S ribosomal RNA". It matches the Rfam family "Bacterial small subunit ribosomal RNA", at positions 232 to 442 of the family's 1533-position model. Lineage: Bacteria; Bacillati; Actinomycetota; Actinomycetes. The record is from RNAcentral.
CGCGGCCUAUCAGCUAGUGGCUCACCAAGGCAAAAAACGACGGGUAGCCGGCCUGAGAAAGGGCGACCCCGGCCACACUGGGACUUGCCCAGACUCCUACGGGAGGCAGCCGGGGAAUAUUGGGCAAUGGAGGAAACUCUGACCCAGAUGAAGGCCUUCGGGUUGUAAACCGCUUUCAGUAG